GUUACCUACGGGACGCAGCAGUGAGGAAUAUUGGUCAAUGGUCGGGAGACUGAACCAGCCAAGUCGCGUGAGGGAAGACGGUCCUAUGGAUUGUAAACCUCUUUUGCCGGGGAGCAAAAAGCGGUACGUGUACCGCAUCGAGAGUACCCGGAGAAAAAGCAUCGGCUAACUCCGUGCCAGCAGCCGCGGUAAUACGGAGGAUGCGAGCGUUAUCCGGAUUGAUUGGGUUUACAGGGUGCGCAGGCGGCGAGUUAAGUAAGCGGUAAAAUUUCGGGGCUCAACCCCGACGAGCCGUUGACACUGGG
This 305-nucleotide ribosomal RNA is filed under the name uncultured bacterium. RNAcentral describes it as "bacterial SSU rRNA". It matches the Rfam family "Bacterial small subunit ribosomal RNA", at positions 334 to 637 of the family's 1533-position model. The record is from RNAcentral.